Molecule: ribosomal RNA, 420 nt
Filed under: uncultured bacterium
Lineage: Bacteria
Description: bacterial SSU rRNA
Rfam family: Bacterial small subunit ribosomal RNA
Source: RNAcentral
AAGGAAUAUUGGUCAAUGGACGCAAGUCUGAACCAGCCAUGCCGCGUGGAGGAUGAAGGUCCUCUGGAUUGUAAACUUCUUUUAUCUGAGAAGAAACCCAAGAUUUCUAUUUUGGUUGACGGUACCAGAUGAAUAAGCACCGGCUAACUCCGUGCCAGCAGCCGCGGUAAUACGGAGGGUGCAAGCGUUAUCCGGAUUCACUGGGUUUAAAGGGUGCGUAGGUGGGUAGGUAAGUCAGUGGUGAAAUCCCCGAGCUUAACUUGGGAACUGCCGUUGAUACUAUCUAUCUUGAAUAUCGCGUAGGUAAGCAGAAUAUGUCAUGUAGCGGUGAAAUGCUUAGAUAUGACAUAGAACACCAAUUGCGAAGGCAGCUUACUUCACGAUUAUUGACACUGAGGCACGAAAGCGUGGGGAGCAAAC